This 75-nucleotide transfer RNA is filed under the name Lepisiota frauenfeldi. RNAcentral describes it as "tRNA-His". The record is from RNAcentral. Lineage: Eukaryota; Metazoa; Arthropoda; Insecta; Hymenoptera; Formicidae.
AUUUAAGUAGUUUAAAAAUUGUAAAACAUUAAUUUGUGGGAUUAAUAAUAUGAUGGUAAAUUUUCAUCUUAGAUA